Meleagris gallopavo (turkey) is the source of this 160-nucleotide non-coding RNA. The record is from RefSeq and is a predicted model, not a curated record. NCBI's taxonomy places the organism in Eukaryota, Metazoa, Chordata, Aves, Galliformes, Phasianidae.
AGUCCUAUCGAGACCUGAAGGAAGUGACUCCUGAAGCACUGCAGAUGGUUAAGAGAAACUUUGAAUGGGUUGCAGAAAGAGUAGAGUUGCUUCUGAAAACAAAGAGCCAAGGUAGAGUUGUGGUAUUGAUGGGCUCUACUUCUGACCUUGGCCACUGUGA